AUUGAACGCUGGCGGCAGGCUUAACACAUGCAAGUCGAGCGAGCGGCGGACGGGUGAGUAAUGUCUGGGCAACUGCCUGAUGGAGGGGGAUAACUACUGGAAACGGUAGCUAAUAACGCAUACCCUCCGCUGUGCCCAUAUGGGAUUAGCUCGUAGGUGGGGUAAUGGCUCACCUAGGCUACGAUCGCUAGCUGGUCUGCGAGGAUGACCAGCAACACUGGAACUGAGACACGGUCCAGACUCCUACGGGAGGCAGAAGUGGGGAAUAGUGAAAAAGGGGCGCAAGCCUGAUGCAGCAAUGCGGAGUGUGUGAAGAAGGCCUUCGGGUGGUAAAGCACUUUCAGCGAGGAGGCGUUACUCGAAGAAGAAGCACCGGCUAACUCCGUGCCAGCAGCCGCGGUAAUUC
This 406-nucleotide ribosomal RNA is filed under the name uncultured bacterium. Its description in RNAcentral is "partial 16S ribosomal RNA". It matches the Rfam family "Bacterial small subunit ribosomal RNA", at positions 30 to 526 of the family's 1533-position model. The record is from RNAcentral.